UAUUGGUGAAAAUAAUAAACUUCUUUAUGUGCAAAUAUAAAUUUAAACUAACCCAGAGCUGUCUUUAAUUUCGCCUCCUAGUUGCCUUGUAUAGUGGUUCUCCUGUUGUGUGUUUCAUAAACAGAGCAUAAACUCCAUGACCUAAGAUCAAAAUAUUUACAAAGCCGUACUUCUUUCUGCACAGCCAGAUAUGGAGCUUCUAGGUUUCCCAGCUUCAAGAGGCCCCUCACAGUCAUGGCCCCGUCCCUCCAACUACCAAGACUGUAGCACCAAGUCUUCCUCACGCUGCUGUGUGUCUGCUUCUCUGCGACAGAGGCUGGUUCCACUAUCAAGGACUCGUGAGACUAGGCUGGACCGCCUGCAAGUUCCAGGAUAAACAUUAUCAUUGUAAGGACUUGAUCACAUCUACAAAGUCUCCUUUUUCAGCUUGGUGGUCUCCUCGUUAUUGAUGUGAUUCUCAUCUCCCCCUCAAUACACACACAAUUUUAAUUGCUUUCAUCCGCCUCCCCCCAAAGAAAGCAGUAAAAAGAGAGGGAUUGCUGAAGACAGGAGCCCUUUGGGCAGUUAGAAAAACAAUAGAAAACAAAACCAUCUUUGGAUGUGACAGAGGUUGUCAAUCAAGAGAGCAAACAAGGGGAAGAAAGAAGAGGAAGAAAGUACACCAGACGCUGUCUGCUAUCACCCCUCUCGCUGAGCGGCUGGAGAGACAGCCUCAAACAUUUAAGAAGUGCAGGUUCUCAAGGAAAGAGAUGGUUGAGCUUGGAGGAGGUGGUGGAGGUAAGGAGGGGUGCCACCUGUCCUUGAAGAAGGGAACCCAUACACAACUCCAGGAUAGCAGCUUCCCAGACUGUGGAUGUCAUCAUCCUCUGAAAGGGAUGUGGAAAAAGAAGUCUUCAUGGAGCCAAGCUUUGGAGCUUUUUCUACUAUCACCAGGACCCAUCUGGAUAUUUCUUUAGAAUCUUCUCUCCAUCAGAGGCUAGUGCCCUCUGUACACAAACUUCAUUUUCCCAAGAACCAGACUGGACAAAGCUGGACUCCAAAAUUCCACAUCCUGCAAAUGCCAGAACCAUUUAAAACUGAAUUUUUCUGUAGAUCUGAAAUGCUUGAACUGAGUAUAAAGAUAAGUUUUCUCCUAAUAACAUGACAAGUGUAGAAAUUGUUAUGAAUGAUUCAAACUGUAUAGACACACAAUAUUAAAGACAUGCAAAGAUGGAGAAUGUGACAGUGUUUUCUAGAUUCACAGACACUGACAGACAAUAGCAAACAAGUCAAGAAUUUCUUAAGAUCUGCAACAAAAUAUGUAUCUAAAUAGAGACACAAAAUACCAUCACUAAAUUACACUUACUAUGAAAGAAAUGUUGUAUUAUGAGUCACAGGCUCC
RNAcentral lists this small RNA (1381 nucleotides) under Rattus norvegicus (Norway rat). RNAcentral's name for it is "uncharacterized LOC102554395". Lineage: Eukaryota; Metazoa; Chordata; Mammalia; Rodentia; Muridae. The record is from RNAcentral.